Molecule: ribosomal RNA, 1320 nt
Filed under: uncultured prokaryote
Description: partial 16S ribosomal RNA
Rfam family: Bacterial small subunit ribosomal RNA
Source: RNAcentral
AGUCGAGGGGUGACAGGUUCCUUCGCGGAAUGCUGACGACCGGCGCACGGGUGAGUAACGCGUAUGCAACCUACCUUAAUAUGGAGGAUAGCCCAUGGAAACGUGGAUUAAUACUCCAUAACAUAUUUAUACUGCAUGGUAUUUAUAUUAAAGCUUUGGCGUAUUAAGAUGGGCAUGCGUGCCAUUAGAUAGUUGGUGAGGUAACGGCUCACCAAGUCAGCGAUGGCUACGGGGUCUUAAAGGAUGGUCCCGCACACUGGUACUGAGACACGGACCAGACUCCUACGGGAGGCAGCAGUGAGGAAUAUUGGUCAAUGGACGCAAGUCUGAACCAGCCAUGCCGCGUGGAGGAAGACGGCCCUAUGGGUUGUAAACUGCUUUUUUUACGGGAAUAUAGUUUCUACGUGUAGAGAUUUGAAGGUACCAUACGAAUAAGCAUCGGCUAACUCCGUGCCAGCAGCCGCGGUAAUACGGAGGAUGCAAGCGUUAUCCGGAUUUAUUAGGUUUAAAGGGUGCGCAGGCUGCCCGGUAAGUCAGUGGUGAAAGUUUGCAGCUUAACUGUAAAAUUGCCAUUGAUACUGUCGGGCUUGAAUUUGGUAGAGGUAGGCGGAAUGUGUAGUGUAGCGGUGAAAUGCUUAGAUAUUACACAGAACACCGAUUGCGAAGGCAGCUUACUAUGCCAACAUUGACGCUGAGGCACGAAAGCGUGGGGAGCGAACAGGAUUAGAUACCCUGGUAGUCCACGCCGUAAACGAUGAUCACUCGUUGUUGGCAAUACACCGUGAGCGACUGAGCGAAAGCAUUAAGUGAUCCACCUGGGGAGUACGGUCGCAAGAUUGAAACUCAAAGGAAUUGACGGGGGCCCGCACAAGCGGAGGAACAUGUGGUUUAAUUCGAUGAUACGCGAGGAACCUUACCUGGGCUUAAAUGUAGAGUGCAUAAACGGGAAACUGUUUUUUCCUUCGGGACUCUUUACAAGGUGCUGCAUGGUUGUCGUCAGCUCGUGCCGUGAGGUGUCGGGUUAAGUCCCAUAACGAGCGCAACCCCUAUCGUUAGUUGCCAGCGAGUCAAGUCGGGGACUCUAACGAGACUGCCGGUGUAAACCGCGAGGAAGGUGGGGAUGACGUCAAAUCAGCACGGCCCUUACGUCCAGGGCUACACACGUGUUACAAUGGCCGAUACAAAGGGCAGCUACCUAGUGAUAUGAUGCUAAUCUCUAAAGCCGGUCUCAGUUCGGAUUGGAGUCUGCAACUCGACUCCAUGAAGCUGGAAUCGCUAGUAAUCGCGUAUCAGCAACGGCGCGGUGAUACGUUCCCGGGC